UUGACUCAGUUAUCAGGACAUUGAGCCCUCACAGCCCGGGAAGCGAGGUGGUAAGUGGGGCUGUUUGUCACGGCUCAGGCGGUCAACUUUGAAGCAAAGCAUUCCUUGCAGGUAGAGAUCUGCCCGGGACGCAGCCCAUCCCAGACUGCAAAACCGCAAGCAUGAACAGCAGGAGCCGAGCAAAGUGCUCGGCGAAGGAAGGGGAAGGCUGAGUGAGCUACACGGUCACGAACAGAAGCCUGCGCGUGGGUUAAUGCCCUAACCACACGCCCCCCGGACGCAGGGCUGCUGAGGCUGCGAAGCCGACAGCAGCCACAGCGUAGCUGCAAGCGGCAGCGGCGGAGGCGGCAGCAAUGUCAGGAGGGCACAGCUGGAGGCUGCGGCCACAGAAGCCACCACCCCGCCCCCAGAAAAAAGCCCAUAUGAAGAUACAAGGAGAACGGAGCCAUCUGCAAGCCUGGAAGAGAAACCUCACCAGAAAUCAACCCUGUUGGUACAUUGAUCUUGGACUUCUGGCCUCUAGAAUGAAUUAUCUUCACUGAAAAUUUCCUCUCCAAAGGAUGGAAAAUCAAAGUGCAGAAAUAUAAGAAUAUUAAGAACGUGAAGCUGGAUGAGAGGUAGAUGUUUUCAGGAGGGACGCCAUAACUAUCAGGAAAAAACAUGAAGAACUUUUAUACAUGCUCCAAAGAUGAAUAGCCGAAUAGAUAUUUUAGGUUUUGGCCAGGGCUGGGUUUGAACCCACCACCUCCAGCAUAUGGGGCCAGCACAUCACUCCUUUGAGCCACAGGAGCCGCCCUUACGAACAACAGAAUUUUGUCUUACAAUUCCAGAGUCUGGGAAGUCUGAAAUCAAGGGACUAGUAGAUUUGGUGCCUGGUGAGGGUCCAUUGCUUGAGUCAUGGGUGGCACUUUAUCACUGUGUCCUUAAGUGGUAGAAGAAACAAGGCAGCUCUCUGGGGCCUCUUUUAUAAGGGCACUAAUCCCAGUCAUGACGACUUUGCCCUUAUGUCCUAACCCUUACUAAAGGCCCCACCUCCUGACACCUUCACAUUGGUGAUUAGAUUUCAACCUAAGAGUUUGAGGGGGUCCAGGCUCAGUGGCUCAUGCCUAUAAUCCUAGCACUCUGGGAGGCCGAGGCGGGUGAAUUGCUUCAGCUCACGGGUUCAAGACCAGCCUAAGCAAGAGCGAGACACCAUCUCUAAAAAUAGCCGGGCACUGUAGUGGAUGUCUAUAGUCCCAGCUACUUGGGAAGCUGAGGCAAGAGAAUCAUUUGAGCUCAAAAGUCUGAAGUUGCCGUGAGUUAUGAUGCCGCAGCACUCUACCGACGGCAACAAACUGAGAUUCUGUCCCAAAAAGAAAAAAAAAGAAAGAGUUUUGGUGGGACACAGAUAUUCAGACCAUAGCAGAUAUUCAGUUAUACUUCUAUAAAUGUUUUUAAAGAGUUAUUGGGUAGCGAACAGAAUUGCUGAAAGGCCUGAAACUGAGCAGAAGGGAUAAACCAGCCACAGAACUGAUAUGAUGAGGAACUUGGCUAGUGUUACAACUAUGUUGGUUUUCCCAGGACUGAGUUGACUUCAGUGGUUUCCAGGGAUUUGGAGGCUUCCAUGCUAUAAUCUGGAAAGUGCUGGGCCAAGGAUGACAAAGCAGUCAUCCUGCAGCUAGCACCGCAGACAUCAAGCACAAGACAGACAAAACGAUUUGCUCUUUGGCCAUUUAUGCACUGGGAACUCAAGCUUUCGGUAACGUCUACUGCCACUAGGAA
This is a long non-coding RNA of Nycticebus coucang (slow loris), 1761 nucleotides long. RefSeq lists it as uncharacterized. NCBI's taxonomy places the organism in Eukaryota, Metazoa, Chordata, Mammalia, Primates, Lorisidae. The record is from RefSeq and is a predicted model, not a curated record. The transcript is spliced from 4 exons.